RNAcentral lists this ribosomal RNA (451 nucleotides) under Lancefieldella rimae. Its description in RNAcentral is "bacterial SSU rRNA". It matches the Rfam family "Bacterial small subunit ribosomal RNA", at positions 28 to 492 of the family's 1533-position model. Lineage: Bacteria; Bacillati; Actinomycetota; Coriobacteriia; Coriobacteriales; Atopobiaceae. The record is from RNAcentral.
GAUGAACGCUGCGGCGCGCCUAACACAUGCAAGUCGAACGGUUAAAGCACCUUUUAGGUGUGUAUAAAGUGGCGAACGGUGAGUAACACGUGGGCAACCUGCCCUCCUCUUGGGGAUAGCCUCGGGAAACCGAGGAUAAUACCCGAUACUUCAAUGUGGCCGCAUGACGACAUUGAGAAAGCUUUUGCGGAGAAGGAUGGGCCCGCGGCCUGUUAGCUUGUUGGUGGGGUAGAGGCCUACCAAGGCAAUGAUGGGUAGCUGGGUUGAGAGACCGACCAGCCAGAUUGGGACUGAGACACGGCCCAGACUCCUACGGGAGGCAGCAGUGGGGAAUCUUGCACAAUGGGCGAAAGCCUGAUGCAGCGACGCCGCGUGCGGGACGAAGGCCUUCGGGUUGUAAACCGCUUUCAGCAGGGACGAGGCGAAAGUGACGGUACCUGCAGAAGAAGCC